RNAcentral lists this ribosomal RNA (253 nucleotides) under uncultured bacterium. RNAcentral's name for it is "partial 16S ribosomal RNA". It matches the Rfam family "Bacterial small subunit ribosomal RNA", at positions 524 to 776 of the family's 1533-position model. The record is from RNAcentral.
GACGGAGGGGGCUAGCGUUGUUCGGAUUUACUGGGCGUAAAGAGCACGUAGGCGGAUUAGUAAGUUGGAAGUGAAAGCCCGGGGCUUAACCUCGGAACUGCUUUCAAAACUGCUAGUCUAGAGUGUAGUAGAGGAUGAUGGAAUUCCUAGUGUAGAGGUGAAAUUCUUAGAUAUUAGGAGGAACACCAGUGGCGAAGGCGGUCAUCUGGGCUACAACUGACGCUGAGGUGCGAAAGCGUGGGGAGCAAACAGG